AGGACGAACGCUGGCGGCGUGCUUAACACAUGCAAGUCGAGCGAGGCCCUUCCUUCGGGAAGGUGCCCUAGCGGCGAACGGGUGAGUAACACGUGGGCAACCUGCCCCUAGCACUGGGAUAACUCCGGGAAACCGGGGCUAAUACCGGAUAUGACCUUUGAGGGCAUCCUCGAAGGUGUAAAGGAUUCUGGCUAGGGAUGGGCCCGCGGCCUAUCAGCUUGUUGGUGGGUAACGGCCUACCAAGGCGACGACGGGUA
This 257-nucleotide ribosomal RNA is filed under the name uncultured bacterium. RNAcentral describes it as "partial small subunit ribosomal RNA". It matches the Rfam family "Bacterial small subunit ribosomal RNA", at positions 26 to 285 of the family's 1533-position model. The record is from RNAcentral.